Molecule: ribosomal RNA, 627 nt
Filed under: uncultured bacterium
Lineage: Bacteria
Description: bacterial SSU rRNA
Rfam family: Bacterial small subunit ribosomal RNA
Source: RNAcentral
CUGGGCGUAAGCGCGCGCAGGCGGCCAUUCAAGUCAGGGGUGAAAGCCCAGAGCUCAACUCUGGAACUGCCCUUGAAACUGUAUGGCUUGAGUAUGAGAGAGGUGAGUGGAAUUCCCAGUGUAGAGGUGAAAUUCGUAGAUAUUGGGAAGAACACCGGUGGCGAAGGCGGCUCACUGGCUCAUUACUGACGCUCAGGCGCGACAGCGUGGGGAUCAAACAGGAUUAGAUACCCUGGUAGUCCACGCCGUAAACUAUGAACGCUAGCCGUUGGGCAGCUUGCUGCUCAGUGGCGCAGCUAACGCAUUAAGCGUUCCGCCUGGGGAGUACGGCCGCAAGGUUGAAACUCAAAGAAAUUGACGGGGGCCCGCACAAGCGGUGGAGCAUGUGGUUUAAUUCGACGCAACGCGCAGAACCUUACCAGGGUUUGACAUCCUGAGACCGCUCCUGAAAGGGAGUUUCCCGCAAGGGCUCAGAGACAGGUGCUGCAUGGCUGUCGUCAGCUCGUGUCGUGAGAUGUUGGGUUAAGUCCCGCAACGAGCGCAACCCUCGCCUUUAGUUGCCAUCAUUAAGUUGGGCACUCUAGAGGGACCGCCGGCGACAAGCCGGAGGAAGGUGGGGAUGACGUC